AAUCUAUGCAACCGUGGAUCGAGCUCAACGCUUCGAUUUCAAAAUUAUUGUUCAUUGACACCAAAAAUUAUUAUGAACUGGUUUGAUAAGCUUCGUUCUUCUUCCAAUCUCAGCCGCUUCAUUGCCGGCCUUCUAAUCUUUAUUCUCUACCAUUCUUUCCAGUUAAUUUCUAAUUUCUUGAUUCCUAUACACCCUUAAUU
RNAcentral lists this unclassified non-coding RNA (200 nucleotides) under Hevea brasiliensis (rubber tree). Lineage: Eukaryota; Viridiplantae; Streptophyta; Magnoliopsida; Malpighiales; Euphorbiaceae. The record is from RNAcentral.